AUAUUUACCACAUAGAGGAGUUAUCAUGAUCAUGAAGGUGAUUUCCCCAGAAUGAGGCUUUUCUAUAGCAUCCCAGAUGUGCUGACUCCUGCCAUUUCCCCAAAUGUGGGAAACUCACCUGCAUAAUUUGUAAUAGUCCGGGACUGCAUUUGUACCCUCCUCUC
Molecule: small nuclear RNA, 164 nt
Organism: Oryctolagus cuniculus (rabbit)
Lineage: Eukaryota; Metazoa; Chordata; Mammalia; Lagomorpha; Leporidae
Gene: U1
Rfam family: U1 spliceosomal RNA
About the family: U1 is a small nuclear RNA (snRNA) component of the spliceosome (involved in pre-mRNA splicing). Its 5' end forms complementary base pairs with the 5' splice junction, thus defining the 5' donor site of an intron.
Source: Ensembl